CAGCAGCCGCGGUAAUACGUAGGACACGAACGUUAUCCGGAGUUACUGGGCGUAAAGCGCGCGCAGGCGGUGAGAUAAGUUGCCUAUGAAAGUUACCGGCUAAACUGGUAAAAGUUAGGUGAAACUGUCUGACUAGAGAGAAAUAGAGGGAAGUAGAAUUCCGGGUGUAGUGGUGAAAUGCGUAGAUAUCCGGAGGAAUACCGGUGGCGAAGGCGGCUUCCUGGAUUUCCACUGACGCUGAGGCGCGAAAACGUGGGUAGCGAACGGGAUUAGAAACCCCGGUAGUCCACGCCGUAAACGAUGUACAUUAGGCGUUCGGCAACGAUGGUUGUUGAGUGUCGCAGCAAACGCGAUAAAUGUACCGCCUGGGGAGUACGGUCGCAAGGCUAAAACUCAAAGGAAUUGACGGGGGCCCGCACAAGCAGCGGAGCGUGUGGUUUAAUUCGAGGCUACGCGAAGAACCUUACCUGGGAAUGACAUGUUGGUAGUACGGAAGCGAAAGCGGAAGGACCCUUCGGGGAGCCAACACAGGUGCUGCAUGGUUGUCGUCAGCUCGUGCCGUGAGGUGUUCGGUUAAGUCCGCAAACGAGCGCAACCCUCGGUGCUAGUUAUACGUGUCUAGCAUGACUGCCCAUGACAAAUAGGAGGAAGGUGGGGAUGACGUCAAAUCAGCAUGGCCUUAAUAUCCAGGGCGACACACACGCUACAAUGGUCGGUACAAUGGGUAGCGAAGUAGCGAUACGGAGCCAAUCCUAAAAAGCCGAUCUCAGUUCGGAUUGCAGGCUGCAACUCGCCUGCAUGAAGUCGGAGUUGCUAGUAACCGCGAAUCAGCACGUUGCGGUGAAUACGUUCCCGGGCCUUGUACACACCGCCCGU
This 876-nucleotide ribosomal RNA is filed under the name uncultured marine bacterium. Its description in RNAcentral is "bacterial SSU rRNA". It matches the Rfam family "Bacterial small subunit ribosomal RNA", at positions 509 to 1397 of the family's 1533-position model. The record is from RNAcentral.